This 249-nucleotide ribosomal RNA is filed under the name uncultured bacterium. RNAcentral's name for it is "partial 16S ribosomal RNA". It matches the Rfam family "Bacterial small subunit ribosomal RNA", at positions 523 to 769 of the family's 1533-position model. The record is from RNAcentral.
AUACGUAGGGUGCAAGCGUUAAUCGGAAUUACUGGGCGUAAAGCGUGCGCAGGGCGGUUUUGUAAGACAGGCGUGAAAUCCCCGGGCUCAACCUGGGAAUUGCGCUUGUGACUGCAAGGCUAGAGUACGGCAGAGGGGGAUGGAAUUCCGCGUGUAGCAGUGAAAUGCGUAGAUAUGCGGAGGAACACCGAUGGCGAAGGCAAUCCCCUGGGCCUGUACUGACGCUCAUGCACGAAAGCGGUGGGGAGC